GGGCCCAUAGCUCAGUGGUCAGAGCGAGCGGCUCAUAACCGCCAGGUCGUUGGUUCGAUCCCAACUGGGCCCA
RNAcentral lists this transfer RNA (73 nucleotides) under Chloroflexota bacterium. RNAcentral's name for it is "Chloroflexi bacterium (marine metagenome) tRNA-Ile". It matches the Rfam family "tRNA". From Rfam's summary of the family: Transfer RNA (tRNA) molecules are approximately 80 nucleotides in length. Their secondary structure includes four short double-helical elements and three loops (D, anti-codon, and T loops). Lineage: Bacteria; Bacillati; Chloroflexota. RNAcentral also lists the same sequence under 1 other name. The record is from RNAcentral.